RNAcentral lists this ribosomal RNA (94 nucleotides) under Blautia faecis. Its description in RNAcentral is "partial 23S ribosomal RNA". It matches the Rfam family "Bacterial large subunit ribosomal RNA", at positions 2831 to 2925 of the family's 2925-position model. The record is from RNAcentral. Lineage: Bacteria; Bacillati; Bacillota; Clostridia; Lachnospirales; Lachnospiraceae. RNAcentral also lists the same sequence under 1 other name.
AACCCCCUUGAAGACGACGAGGUAGAUAGGGCAGGGGUGGAAGUGUGGUAACACACGGAGCUGACUGUUACUAAUAGGGUGAGGGCUUGACCAA